This 473-nucleotide ribosomal RNA is filed under the name uncultured organism. Its description in RNAcentral is "partial 16S ribosomal RNA". It matches the Rfam family "Bacterial small subunit ribosomal RNA", at positions 333 to 797 of the family's 1533-position model. The record is from RNAcentral.
ACACUCCUGCGGGAGGCAGCAGUGGGGAAUAUUGCACAAUGGGCGCAAGCCUGAUGCAGCCAUGCCGCGUGUAUGAAGAAGGCCUUCGGGUUGUAAAGUACUUUCAGCGGGGAGGAAGGCGAUAAGGUUAAUAACCUUGUCGAUUGACGUUACCCGCAGAAGAAGCACCGGCUAACUCCGUGCCAGCAGCCGCGGUAAUACGGAGGGUGCAAGCGUUAAUCGGAAUUACUGGGCGUAAAGCGCACGCAGGCGGUCUGUCAAGUCGGAUGUGAAAUCCCCGGGCUCAACCUGGGAACUGCAUUCGAAACUGGCAGGCUAGAGUCUUGUAGAGGGGGGUGGAAUUCCAGGUGUAGCGGUGAAAUGCGUAGAGAUCUGGAGGAAUACCGGUGGCGAAGGCGGCCCCCUGGACAAAGACUGACGCUCAGGUGCGAAAGCGUGGGGAGCAAACAGGAUUAGAAACCCGAGUAGUCCCA